Molecule: ribosomal RNA, 650 nt
Filed under: Halichondria attenuata
Lineage: Eukaryota; Metazoa; Porifera; Demospongiae; Suberitida; Halichondriidae
Description: eukaryotic LSU rRNA
Rfam family: Eukaryotic large subunit ribosomal RNA
Source: RNAcentral
ACACGGACCAAGGAGUGCAACAUGCGUGCGAGUCUUUGGGUGGCAAACCCAGCGGCACAAUGAAAGUGAAGGCAGGCGUUGGUCUGCUUAGGCGAGAGUCUCCUCGUGGGACACAUCGUCGACCGAUCCCAGGUCACGCUGUGGCGGGAUUUGAGUGAGAGCGUGCCUGUUGCGACCCGAAAGAUGGUGAACUAUGCCUGAAUAGGGUGAAGCCAGAGGAAACUCUGGUGGAAGCUCGUAGCGAUUCUGACGUGCAAAUCGAUCGUCAAAUUUGGGUAUAGGGGCGAAAGACUAAUCGAACCAUCUAGUAGCUGGUUCCCUCCGAAGUUUCCCUCAGGAUAGCUGGAGCCCGGUGCAGUUUUAUCAGGUAAAGCGAAUGAUUAGAGGUCUUGGGGUUGAAACAACCUCAACCUAUUCUCAAACUUUAAAUGGGUAAGAAGCUUGGCUUGCUUAAUUGAAGUCAGGCAUUGAAUGCCGGGGUUCCUAGUGGGCCAUUUUUGGUAAGCAGAACUGGCGAUGUGGGAUGAACCAAAUGCUGGGUUAAGGUGCCCGAAUCGACGCUCAUCAGAUACCAUGAAAGGUGUUGGUUGAUCUAGACAGCAGGACGGUGGCCAUGGAAGUCGGAAUCCGCUAAGGAGUGUGUAACAACU